This 432-nucleotide ribosomal RNA is filed under the name uncultured bacterium. Its description in RNAcentral is "bacterial SSU rRNA". It matches the Rfam family "Bacterial small subunit ribosomal RNA", at positions 83 to 507 of the family's 1533-position model. The record is from RNAcentral.
CCCGGUAGUAAAGUGGCAAACGGGUGAGGAAUACAUGGGUAACCUACCCUUGAGAAGGGAAUAACCCGCCGAAAGGUGAGCUAAUACCCUAUACGCUAUUCUUUUUUACGAAAAGGAUAGGAAAGCCGGGUCGAGGACCUGGUACUCAAGGGAGGGGCUCAUGUCCUAUCAGCUUGUUGGUGGGGUAACGGCCUACCAAGGCUACGACGGGUAGCUGGUCUGAGAGGAUGGUCAGCCACACUGGCACUGAGAUACGGGCCAGACUCCUACGGGAGGCAGCAGUGAGGAAUAUUGCGCAAUGGGCGAAAGCCUGACGCAGCGACGCCGCGUGGGGGAUGAAGGUUUUCGGAUUGUAAACCCCUUUCAUGAGGAAAGAUAAAGUGGGUAACCACUUAGACGGUACCUCAAGAAGAAGCCACGGCUAACUUCGUG